CGGCUCCAAAAAAUUUUUAAAUGAUUCUCAAGUAUUACUUUUAAAAAAAAUCGGAGCAACUAUUUUUAUGAAUUUCGUAAUUUCUCGUUAAAAUAGAAAACUACAAUGUAACAACUUUUAGAUAAGAAGUAAAUUCAUUGACAAUAUCAUCAUUUUGCAAAAUAUCUGGCUUCGUGAAUUCUUUAUGUAAAACUUUGGGACCACGAGGAGUUUCUGGCAUAUUCUUACCAUAAGCCAUUAUAUCAUUUGUAACUUACGUAAAGGAGUAGUUCGUCUGUAUUGUUCUCUUUCAUAAGCUCCACUGUUUAAAAUACUUUCCUGAGAUCUUCUUUUCCAGUAAGCAGACGGUAUAAUCUACAUAAAAGGAUAAGGUAGUUGAGUAAAAUAAACUAUUUGAGAAAAAUAAUGAUUUUGAUAAAAAUCAUAUAGCGUGUUAUAAAAUGAAUUAAAUCAAUACUUACACGAGUAGUGUUAAUAGCUUUCGCAGAAGUUGCCCUAGAAAGAGGUGGUAGCGAUUCACCUCUAUCCAUUGCUUUCUCAAUAGAUUUCCUUUGUAUCAUCGAUAAUUUUGAUUCUUCC
This is a long non-coding RNA of Chelonus insularis, 579 nucleotides long. RefSeq lists it as uncharacterized. The transcript is spliced from 3 exons. Lineage: Eukaryota; Metazoa; Arthropoda; Insecta; Hymenoptera; Braconidae. The record is from RefSeq and is a predicted model, not a curated record.